Biomphalaria glabrata is the source of this 769-nucleotide long non-coding RNA. RefSeq lists it as uncharacterized. NCBI's taxonomy places the organism in Eukaryota, Metazoa, Mollusca, Gastropoda, Planorbidae. The transcript has 5 exons. The record is from RefSeq and is a predicted model, not a curated record.
GGCAUAUGAAAUAAAAUAUCAUUUUUAUUUUGAAAAGAAAAGAAUAAAAAUAUAUAGAAGAGUGUAUUGAGUCCAUAUCUAGCCUAUAUAUAAGGCCUAUUCACAUUUGUAAUAAUUUGUUAAAAGGUCUGAAAAGAAUGUAAAAGAAAUGAAAUGUUACAUUUAAGAUGAGAAAUUAUUUAGAUAAUAAUAUUAAAUAUUUCAUGAAAAGAUAUUUGAAAUCCGACUUUCCAAAUAAUAAAUAAUAAUAGACUGUAAAGCCUCGUUUUCAAUUGCAUUAAAUUUGGCGGGUGUUGCAAGAUAAAAGUGCGCCUAAAAUAUUUUGCGGGAGGUCCUUACAGAGUCAAGAGUCUGCCAUCAAGCAAUCGUUACAUGUGACAUAUGAUAGUCAUGGAAAGAAAAGAUAUGAAUGAAGAAAUCUGGUCUGGUCAUUAAAACAUUGAAAUGGUGGUUCAUCAGACUAAUUGAUCCUAGGUGAAGAUGGUAAUGAAGACAAUUCAACCCUGUAAGUCUCAUUGCACAGUGGUAGCCCUCUCUAACAUCACACAGUUUGUCCUGAACAAAAAAAUACUAAACUCCAAGAACUUGAAAGGUUGGUCAUCACUAUAUAGCCUCGCCCUCCUCCAUAGUGACGAUAUUGCGUGAAAUAACUGGAACAAGACAACAAUGAUAGACAGGAAGGUGAACAAGUUCCAAGCUAACAGCUAUUAACUAAAUUGUAAUGUAAAAAUAAAUAAUAAAACACAUUAUACUACUACAUCUAACAAAA